GAUGAACGCUGGCGGCGUGCCUAAUACAUGCAAGUCGAGCGAACAGACGAGGAGCUUGCUCCUCUGACGUUAGCGGCGGACGGGUGAGUAACACGUGGAUAACCUACCUAUAAGACUGGGAUAACUUCGGGAAACCGGAGCUAAUACCGGAUAAUAUAUUGAACCGCAUGGUUCAAUAGUGAAAGACGGUUUUGCUGUCACUUAUAGAUGGAUCCGCGCCGCAUUAGCUAGUUGGUAAGGUAACGGCUUACCAAGGCGACGAUGCGUAGCCGACCUGAGAGGGUGAUCGGCCACACGAGAACUGAGACACGGUCAAGACUCCUACGGGAGGCAGCAGUAGGGAAUCUUCCGCAAUGGGCGAAAGCCUGACGGAGCAACGCCGCGUGAGUGAUGAAGGUCUUCGGAUCGUAAAACUCUGUUAGUAGGGAAGAACGAAUGUGUAAGUAACUAUGCACGUCUUGACGGUACCUGAUCAGAAAGCCACGGCUAACUACGUG
This 497-nucleotide ribosomal RNA is filed under the name uncultured bacterium. RNAcentral describes it as "partial 16S ribosomal RNA". It matches the Rfam family "Bacterial small subunit ribosomal RNA", at positions 28 to 507 of the family's 1533-position model. The record is from RNAcentral.